RNAcentral lists this ribosomal RNA (155 nucleotides) under Hansenula anomala. RNAcentral's name for it is "Wickerhamomyces anomalus 5.8S ribosomal RNA". It matches the Rfam family "5.8S ribosomal RNA". From Rfam's summary of the family: 5.8S ribosomal RNA (5.8S rRNA) is a component of the large subunit of the eukaryotic ribosome. It is transcribed by RNA polymerase I as part of the 45S precursor that also contains 18S and 28S rRNA. Lineage: Eukaryota; Fungi; Ascomycota; Saccharomycetes; Phaffomycetales; Wickerhamomycetaceae. The record is from RNAcentral.
AACUUUCAACAACGGAUCUCUUGGUUCUCGCAACGAUGAAGAACGCAGCGAAAUGCGAUACGUAUUGUGAAUUGCAGAUUUUCGUGAAUCAUCGAAUCUUUGAACGCACAUUGCACCCUCUGGUAUUCCAGAGGGUAUGCCUGUUUGAGCGUCAU